GUCCACGCCCUAAACGAUGAUUACUCGACAUACGCGAUACACAGUGUGUGUCUGAGCGAAAGCAUUAAGUAAUCCACCUGGGAAGUACGACCGCAAGGUUGAAACUCAAAGGAAUUGGCGGGGUCCGCACAAGCGGUGGAGCAUGUGGUUUAAUUCGAUGAUACGCGAGGAACCUUACCUGGGCUAGAAUGCGGUUUGACCGCCGGUGAAAGCCGGUUUUGUAGCAAUACACAGAUCGUAAGGUGCUGCAUGGCUGUCGU
RNAcentral lists this ribosomal RNA (260 nucleotides) under uncultured bacterium. RNAcentral's name for it is "partial 16S ribosomal RNA". It matches the Rfam family "Bacterial small subunit ribosomal RNA", at positions 793 to 1055 of the family's 1533-position model. The record is from RNAcentral.